UCCGGUUGAUCCUGCCGGAGGCCACUGCUAUUGGGGUCCGGCUAAGCCAUGCGAGUGGUGGGCGCGGUCGCGAGAUCGUGGCCCCGCACACGGCUCAGUAACACGUCGUCAACCCACCCUCGAGUCUGGGACAACCUCGGGAAACUGAGGAUAAUCCCUGAUAGGCGAGAGAUGCUGGAAUGCUUUCUCGCUUAAAGCUCCGGCGCUCGAGGACGGGACGGCGGCCUAUCAGGUAGUUGGUGGGGUAACGGCCCACCAAGCCUACGACGGGUACGGGCGAUGGGAGUCGGAGCCCGGAGAUGGGGACUGAGACAAGGCCCCAGGCCCUACGGGGCGCAGCAGGCGCGAAAACUCCGCAAUGCGCGAAAGCGUGACGGGGGGACCCCAAGUGCCGCUGAUCUUAGAUCGGCGGCUUUUCGGGAGUGUAAGAAGCUCCCGGAAUAAGGGCUGGGUAAGUCUGGUGCCAGCCGCCGCGGUAACACCAGCAGCCCAAGUGGUGGUCGCGUUUAUUGGGCCUAAAGCGCUCGUAGCCGGGCCAGUAAGUCCCUUGUGAAAUCGGACGGCUUAACCGUUCGGCUUGCAAGGGAUACUAUUGGCCUUGGGGCCGGGAGAGGUUGGAGGUACUCCGGGGGUAGCGGUGAAAUGCUGUAAUCCUCGGGGGACCACCAGUGGCGAAGGCGUCCAACUAGAACGGACCCGACGGUGAGGGGCGAAAGCUGGGGGAGCGAACGGGAUUAGAUACCCCGGUAGUCCCAGCUGUAAAGCAUGCGGGCCGGGUGUCAGGCGCCCUUCGAGGGCGCCUAGUGCCGUAGGGAAGCCGUUAAGCCCGCCGCCUGGGAAGUACGGUCGCAAGGCUGAAACUUAAAGAAAUUGGCGGGGGAGUACCACAAGGGGUGGAGCCUGCGGUUUAAUUGGAUUCAACGCCGGACAACUCACCGGGGGCGACAGUUGGUUGAAGGCCAGGUUGACGACCUUGCCGGACUAGCUGAGAGGAGGUGCAUGGCC
Molecule: ribosomal RNA, 1005 nt
Filed under: uncultured archaeon
Lineage: Archaea
Description: bacterial SSU rRNA
Rfam family: Archaeal small subunit ribosomal RNA
Source: RNAcentral